CAGUCGCCGCGGUAAAACGAAGGGUGCAAGCGUUACUCGGAAUUACUGGGCGUAAAGCGUGCGUAGGUGGUGGUUUAAGUCCGUUGUGAAAGCCCUGGGCUCAACCUGGGAAUUGCAGUGGAUACUGGGUCACUAGAGUGUGGUAGAGGAUAGUGGAAUUUCCGGUGUAGCGGUGAAAUGCGUAGAGAUCGGGAGGAACAUCAGUGGCGAAGGCGGCCAUCUGGGACAACACUGACGCUGAGGCACGAAAGCGUGGGGAGCAAACAGGAUUAGAUACCCCCGUAGUCCCUGUCUCUUAUAC
This 301-nucleotide ribosomal RNA is filed under the name uncultured bacterium. RNAcentral describes it as "partial 16S ribosomal RNA". It matches the Rfam family "Bacterial small subunit ribosomal RNA", at positions 509 to 807 of the family's 1533-position model. The record is from RNAcentral.